GUCCACAACACAACUCUGGAGAGACUGUCUAGUCCACAACACAACUCUGGAGAGACUGUCUAGUCCACAACACAACUCUGGAGAGACUGUCUAGUCCACAACACAACUCUGGAGAGACUGUCUAGUCCACAACACAACUCUGGAGGGACUGUCUAGUCCACAACACAACUCUGGAGAGACUGUCUAGUCCACAACACAACUCUGGAGAGACUGUCUAGUCCACAACACAACUCUGGAGAGACUGUCUAGUCCACAACACAACUCUGGAGAGACUGUCUAGUCCACAACACAACUCUGGAGAGACUGUCUAGUCCACAACACAACUCUGGAGAGACUGUCUAGUCCACAACACAACUCUGGAGAGACCGUCUAGUCCACAACACAACUCUGGAGAGACUGUCUAGUCCACAACACAACUCUGGAGAGACCGUCUAGUCUACAACACAACUCUGGAGAGACCGUCUAGUCCACAACACAACUCUGGAGAGACUGUCUAGUCCACAACACAACUCUGGAGAGACUGUCUAGUCCACAACACAACUCUGGAGAGACUGUCUAGUCCACAACACAACUCUGGAGAGACCGUCUAGUCCACAACACAACUCUGGAGAGACUGUCUAGUCCACAACACAACUCUGGAGAGACUGUCUAGUCCACAACACAACUCUGGAGAGACUGUCUAGUCCACAACACAACUCUGGAGAGACUGUCUAGUCCACAACACAACUCUGGAGAGACUGUCUAGUCCACAACACAACUCUGGAGAGACCGUCUAGUCCACAACACAACUCUGGAGAGACUGUCUAGUCCACAACACAACUCUGGAGAGACUGUCUAGUCCACAACACAACUCUGGAGAGACUGUCUAGUCCAUAACACAACUCUGGAGAGACUGCCUAGUCCACAACACAACUCUGGAGAGACUGUCUAGUCCACAACACAGUGAGAAGCAGCAGCAGCUGAACCUUCUUAGCUGUUUGGAACGACUCCUGCUUCCUGCCAUCUCAUUAAAAGUGUCUUUGGAAAAUGUGUGAACAUCAUAUGCUUCCUGCUUCCUGGCCUUUUUAAAAUAAUUUUAUUCUUAUGUCUUUUACAUUUUUAUAGUUUUAAUAUGUUGUUUUUAAUGAUGAGCCUGGGGAAACCAAAAAUGAUGUAUCGGAAGUUGGGGGAAGAACUACUGAUUUGGAAGGUUAGAUUAAGUUAGGUAAGGUUAGGUUAGGUUAAGUUAGGUUAGGUUAGGUUAAGUUAGGUUAGGUUAAGUUAAGUUAGGUUAGGUUAAGUUAAGUUAGGUUAGGUUAAGUUAAGUUAGGUUAGGUUAGGUUAAGUUAGGUUUAAGUUAGUUUAAGUUAGGUUUAAGUUAGGUUAGGUUAAGUUAGGUUAGGUUAAGUUAGGUUAAGUUAGGGCUACAUUCCAAAUGGCACUGAUUCCCUACAUAGUGCACUACUUUUGACCAGAGCUCUGUGGCCACUGGUCAAAAAGAGUGUACUAUAUAGGGAAUAGGGUGCCAUUUGGGACACAGCCUAGGUUAUACAAGAUGGAGUCCCAGUUAGGACUGUGUGGUGGUGAUGGGGGAUGGGCUGUUGCCUGGGUUGGGUACCUUGUAUACUAUACCAUACUGCUGCUUGGCUGUGCCAGCAUGUCUAGAAGUUAAACCUUUCAUUGUCAAAUCAAGUGCCUUCAGUUGUAUUGUUUUGAGAGAAUAAGAGGGAAAAAACAAAGGAAUGCCAAGUUUUCUGUAUUGUAGUGUAUUGUAGUGUAUUGUAGUGUAUUGUAGUGUAUUAUAGUGUAUUGUAGUGUAUUGUAGUGUAUUGUAGUGUAUUGUAGUGUAUUGUAGUGUAUUGUAGUGUAUUAUAGUGUAUUGUAGUGUAUUGUAGUGUAUUGUAGUGUAUUGUAGUGUAUUGUAGUGUAUUGUAGUGUAUUAUAGUGUAUUGUAGUGUAUUGUAGUGUAUUGUAGUGUAUUGUAGUGUAUUGUAGUGUAUUGUAGUGUGUAUCGUCACGUCAAGCAAUAAUGAUGUAUCGUAGAAAUUGUAUUAUUGACGGACAAACCACACUUUCCUUUACUUACCCUAAUGUUUAAUAAUCGAAAGUAUAUUUCUGUUGUUAAAGGUUUUUAUAAAAACAUGUGUUACUAUGACUGUGUUCUUUCUUUCGUAUUUCUUAAUCUUCUUUACAUUACAGCCUGAUGUUUUUAUCUUUUAAUAAUCUUCUAUGUUUCUUAGGUUAUUACAUGAUGUAUUAUAGAUCAAACAGAUUCUUGGUUUUACUUUAGUUGCGUUACAAGUUGUCUCUCAGCAGGUGAGGAUUUUUAACGAUUUGAUCAAUAUUGGUGUAAUUGUAUCCUUAUCGAUCACACGCUCUGCUUUCAUUCGUUCACUAUUACGUUAAGAUAUUCCUAAUCAAUACCCCCCCCAAAAAAAAAAAAAAAUCGAACUUAAAAGAAGGACAAUAGGCACUUUGGAUCAAUAAGGGCUGGUUUGAUAUAUCUGCAUCCUGAAUGGCACCCUAUUCCCUACACAGUGCACUACUAUAUAUAGGAAAUAGGGUGUAUUUUAGGAGACUGCCUUUCAGACAGGGAGACAAUGGCUUGUUUGAUAUAGUUGCAUCCUGAAUGGCACCCUAUUACCUUCACAGUGCACUGCUAUAUAUAGGGAAUAGGGUGAAUUUUAGGAGCCGGCCAUUGUCUCCGUGUCUGAAAGGCAGUCUAUGGAUGUCCCUUACUGCCCAGUUGUAGACCUGCUUUGCUGCUGAAACAAGAUGGUGGUUAGGACCUGUUUGGUUAGAAGAGCAUGUCAUGAUGGCUAGAGAGGUAAGGUUAGAGGUUACACUUUGAUUUGAAUCAAUGGUAAAAUGUGAGUUACAGUAUGUGUGCUUUAGUUGGUGUACAGGCAGAAUUUCUCCUUAUGGAAAAACAACCAGCUAUGGUUUUACAGUCAGGAAUUGUUGUGAUGUGACAGAUUCCAAAGAGUUAUUUUAUUAUUAUUAUUAUUAUUUUAUUUCUUCUAGUGAUUCUUCUUUCAACUGAUACUGAAUCUAAUUUCACGGGCGAAAAAAAACUACAAAAUGAUUUGUUAUUAUCAACCUCUGUCCAUCUGUCUGACUAUAAUACACAUGUAUGUAUAAGCUAAUGAGAAUAUAUGUCAGUAAGGUAGGGUUUCACGGUAACAGAGGUGUCUAGACCGUCGUUGUGAUGAACUAAACUGAGGAUUCUAAAUGGAUUCUAGGAGUUCUAGAAUAGAACAGACAUGAUUCCGUGAUUCUUCCGGAACAAGAGAACAAUACAGUGACUUAACUUGUUAAAGUUGGUGGUUGAAUAAAUGAUGUAUUUGUCAUGUAAGUGUGAUUUUUUUUUAAAUUUUUCAUUUAAUUUUUAAUUUUUUAAUUCUUAGCUAGUUUUGUUAAGACUAUAGUUAACUGUUGACUGUUUGCGUAGUACUAAUCACUCACGUUUAAAGGAUUGGUAUUUAGGUAUUGUCUAAAUGCAGGCGUCUACAAAUGAAUUUAUAUUCAGUAACGAUGAUCUCUAAAUCUUUUCAGAGAUAAUAUGUACAUGUAUUGUAGAAACAAAUUCUGUUCCAUAUGUAUCCCUUUCUGUAAUACUUUACAAUUGGCCUGGAAUAAAGUAUAUACUGUAGUAAUAAUGUAUAUACUGUAGUAAUAAUGUAUAUACUGUAGUAAUGUGUCUUGUGGUGUUUUCCUUCCUAUAAUCAGAUACAGGUUUUAUUUUUCUCACUCUGUCACACACACUAAACUUGAUUUCCAUUCAAAAUCCUAUUUUCCCUAGCCCCUAAACCGUGGCCUAACUCUAAACCUACCCCUAACUCCUAAUCCAACUCCUACCCCUAACUCCUAACCCCUAACUCCUAACCCAACUCCUACCCCUAACUCCUAACCUUAACUCCUAACCCCUAACUCCUAACCUAACUCCUACCCCAACUCCUAACUCCUAACCUUAACUCCUAACUCCUAACCUUAACUCCUAACCCCUAACUCCUAACCUAACUCCUACCCCUAACUCCUACCCCUAACUCCUAACCUUAACUCCUAACUCCUACCCCCUAACUCCUAACCCCUUAACCUAACCCCUUAACCUAACCCCUUAGCCUAACCCCUUAGCCUAACCCCUUAACCUAGCCCCUUAACCUAACCCCUUAACCUAACCCCUUAGCCUAACCCCUUAGCCUAACCCCUUAGCCUAACCCCUUAGCCUAACCCCUUAGCCUAACCCCUUAACCUAACCCCUUAACCUAACCCCUUAGCCUAAAAUAACCCCCAAGCUAAAAGAGAAGGAAUAUAAUAUCUAUUGUUCACAGGAAAAUCAUUCAACAAUUUUAGAUGAAGUUUUGUGAAAAAAAGGACUUGGGGGGCGGAAUAUAUUUCUCCCAUGGGGCAAAAAAAACAGGCAAAG
RNAcentral lists this long non-coding RNA (4405 nucleotides) under Salmo salar (Atlantic salmon). RNAcentral describes it as "lncRNA (ENSSSAG00000095812.1)". Lineage: Eukaryota; Metazoa; Chordata; Actinopteri; Salmoniformes; Salmonidae. The record is from RNAcentral.